Molecule: ribosomal RNA, 499 nt
Filed under: uncultured bacterium
Lineage: Bacteria
Description: partial 16S ribosomal RNA
Rfam family: Bacterial small subunit ribosomal RNA
Source: RNAcentral
GACGAACGCUGGCGGCGUGCCUAAUACAUGCAAGUCGAGCGGACUUUCAAGAAGCUUGCUUUUUGAAAGUUAGCGGCGGACGGGUGAGUAACACGUGGGCAACCUGCCUGCAAGACGGGGAUAACUCCGGGAAACCGGGGCUAAUACCGGAUAAUAUCUUCCUUCGCAUGAAGGAAGGUUGAAAGGCGGCGCAAGCUGCCGCUUGCAGAUGGGCCCGCGGCGCAUUAGCUAGUUGGUGAGGUAACGGCUCACCAAGGCGACGAUGCGUAGCCGACCUGAGAGGGUGAUCGGCCACACUGGGACUGAGACACGGCCCAGACUCCUACGGGAGGCAGCAGUAGGGAAUCUUCCGCAAUGGACGAAAGUCUGACGAAGCAACGCCGCGUGAGCGAAGAAGGUCUUCGGAUCGUAAAGCUCUGUUGUCAGGGAAGAACAAGUACCGUUCGAACAGGGCGGUACCUUGACGGUACCUGACCAGAAAGCCACGGCUAACUACGUG